CUCCCUGAUGUUAGCGGCGGACGGGUGAGUAACACGUGGGUAACCUGCCUGUAAGACUGGGAUAACUCCGGGAAACCGGGGCUAAUACCGGAUGGUUGUUUGAACCGCAUGGUUCAAACAUAAAAGGUGGCUUCGGCUACCACUUACAGAUGGACCCGCGGCGCAUUAGCUAGUUGGUGAGGUAACGGCUCACCAAGGCGACGAUGCGUAGCCGACCUGAGAGGGUGAUCGGCCACACUGGGACUGAGACACGGCCCAGACUCCUACGGGAGGCAGCAGUAGGGAAUCUUCCGCAAUGGACGAAAGUCUGACGGAGCAACGCCGCGUGAGUGAUGAAGGUUUUCGGAUCGUAAAGCUCUGUUGUUAGGGAAGAACAAGUACCGUUCGAAUAGGGCGGUACCUUGACGGUACCUAACCAGAAAGCCACGGCUAACUACGUGCCAGCAGCCGCGGUAAUACGUAGGUGGCAAGCGUUGUCCGGAAUUAUUGGGCGUAAAGGGCUCGCAGGCGGUUUCUUAAGUCUGAUGUGAAAGCCCCCG
This 539-nucleotide ribosomal RNA is filed under the name Bacillus subtilis. RNAcentral's name for it is "bacterial SSU rRNA". It matches the Rfam family "Bacterial small subunit ribosomal RNA", at positions 82 to 606 of the family's 1533-position model. Lineage: Bacteria; Bacillati; Bacillota; Bacilli; Caryophanales; Bacillaceae. The record is from RNAcentral.